Molecule: ribosomal RNA, 502 nt
Filed under: uncultured bacterium
Lineage: Bacteria
Description: partial 16S ribosomal RNA
Rfam family: Bacterial small subunit ribosomal RNA
Source: RNAcentral
GAUUAACGCUGGCGGCGUGCCUAACACAUGCAAGUCGAGCGGCAGCGAGUUUUACACUGAAUUCUGGAAGCUUCUAGUUGAAAGAGAAGAUUUAUUCAAGAAUUUUGUGUAAAAUGUCGGCGAGCGGCGGACGGCUGAGUAACGCGUGGGAACGUACCCCAAAGUGAGGGAUAACGCAUCGAAAGGUGUGCUAAUACCGCAUAUGGUCUUCGGAUUAAAGCCUUCGGGCGCUUUGGGAACGGCCUGCGUAAGAUUAGAUAGUUUGUGGGGUAAUGGCCUACCAAGUCGACGAUCUUUAACUGGUUUGAGAGGAUGAUCAGUCAGACUGGAACUGAGACACGGUCCAGACUCCUACGGGAGGCAGCAGUGAGGAAUCUUCCACAAUGGGCGAAAGCCUGAUGGAGCAACGCCGCGUGCAGGAUGAAGGCCUUCGGGUUGUAAACUGCUUUUAUAAGUGAGGAUUAUGACAGUAACUUAUGAAUAAGGAUCGGCUAACUACGUG